GCCGUGGUAGCUCAGUGGCCAGAGCAGUCGAUUUGUAAUCGACCGGUCGGGGGUUCGACUCCCCCCCACGGCU
Molecule: transfer RNA, 73 nt
Organism: Halobacterium hubeiense
Lineage: Archaea; Methanobacteriati; Methanobacteriota; Halobacteria; Halobacteriales; Halobacteriaceae
Rfam family: tRNA
About the family: Transfer RNA (tRNA) molecules are approximately 80 nucleotides in length. Their secondary structure includes four short double-helical elements and three loops (D, anti-codon, and T loops).
Source: Rfam